This 486-nucleotide ribosomal RNA is filed under the name uncultured bacterium. Its description in RNAcentral is "partial 16S ribosomal RNA". It matches the Rfam family "Bacterial small subunit ribosomal RNA", at positions 28 to 507 of the family's 1533-position model. The record is from RNAcentral.
GACGAACGCUGGCGGCGUGCUUAACACAUGCAAGUCGAACGCUGAAGACCUGGCUUUUGUUGGGUUGGAUGAGUGGCGAACGGGUGAGUAACACGUGAGUAACCUGCCCUCUUCUCUGGGAUAACGUCCGGAAACGGGUGCUAAUACUGGAUAUUCUCUGAACUCCGCAUGGGGGUUGGUGGAAAGGUUUGUUGUGGUGGGGGAUGGGCUCGCGGCCUAUCAGUUUGCUGGUGGGUUGAUGGCCUACAAAGGCUUUGACGGGUAGCCGGCCUGGGAGGGUGACAGGUCAAAUUGGAACUGGGAUACGGCCCAGACGCCUACGGGAGGAGGGAGUGGGGAACAUUGCGCAAUAGGCGGAAGCAUGAUGCAGCGACGACGCGUGAGGGAUGGAGGACUGUGAGUUGUAGUCCUCUUUCAAUAAUGGUCAAGCCGCAACUGUGGGUUGUGGUGAGGGUAGUGGGUCAAGAAGCGCCGGCUAACUACGUG